UGUUUGCAAUCCAAAACGUAACUAUGUUUCAUUUAAAGUGACUUGAUUCAAUUCUAUUUUGUUCCUCUAAGGAACUAGAUUCGGUUUGUAUAAAUUGACUCACCUGCAGCUAUUACGACUGGAUUUCACCACUUAAUUCUACACCGCACAGAUGAAUCUUCUUUUCUCAUCCUUCCCCGUCCUUGUCCUCGUGUACAUUCAUGCGAGUGUGAAGGUAUUCACGAGGACUUCCUAUUCAUUGUUUUUUUUUCGCAAACUGUUUGGCGGUUUGUUCCAUCACUUCACAGCUCAGGUGCCUUAGUAUUUGAAACAACCCUCCAAGCUUCCGUGGAAAGAGAGCAGCGUCUACCGUCGCAUCUUAAGUCCUUAAGGUCAGUCAUUUUAAUUGUCGAUAGUGU
Molecule: long non-coding RNA, 398 nt
Filed under: Daphnia pulicaria
Lineage: Eukaryota; Metazoa; Arthropoda; Branchiopoda; Diplostraca; Daphniidae
Description: uncharacterized LOC124320511, transcript variant X1
Source: RNAcentral